Molecule: unclassified non-coding RNA, 358 nt
Filed under: soil metagenome
Description: partial contains 5.8S ribosomal RNA, internal transcribed spacer 2, and large subunit ribosomal RNA
Rfam family: 5.8S ribosomal RNA (bases 1-120)
Source: RNAcentral
GAUGAAGAACGCAGUGAAAUGCGAUAAGUAAUGUGAAUUGCAGAAUUCAGUGAAUCAUCGAAUCUUUGAACGCACAUUGCGCCCGUCAGUAUUCUGGCGGGCAUGCCUGUUCGAGCGUCAUUACGCCCCUCAAGUCCCCUGUGGACUUGGUGUUGGGGAUCGGCGAGGCUGGUUUUCCAGCACAGCCGUCCCUUAAUUUAAUUGGCGGUCUCGCCGUGGCCCUCCUCUGCGCAGUAGUAAAACACUCGCAACAGGAGCCCGGCGCGGUCCACUGCCGUAAAACCCCCCAACUUUUUAUAGUUGACCUCGAAUCAGGUAGGACUACCCGCUGAACUUAAGCAUAUCAAUAAGCGGAGGA